UACGAAGGGGGCUAGCGUUGCUCGGAAUUACUGGGCGUAAAGCGCACGUAGGCGGAUUUUUAAGUCAGGGGUGAAAUCCUGGAGCUCAACUCCAGAACUGCCUUUGAUACUGGGAAUCUCGAGUCCGGAAGAGGUGAGUGGAACUGCGAGUGUAGAGGUGAAAUUCGUAGAUAUUCGCAAGAACACCAGUGGCGAAGGCGGCUCACUGGUCCGGUACUGACGCUGAGGUGCGAAAGCGUGGGGAGCAAACAGG
RNAcentral lists this ribosomal RNA (253 nucleotides) under uncultured bacterium. Its description in RNAcentral is "partial 16S ribosomal RNA". It matches the Rfam family "Bacterial small subunit ribosomal RNA", at positions 524 to 776 of the family's 1533-position model. The record is from RNAcentral.